UCCCCCCUCCCCUCAUCCCAGUCUUCGCCGAUUAGGGACAGCAAGUUCAAAUGUGCAAGUAAAAUGCAAGCUGAAAGGCAGGGAGACAAGGCAGUUCUGAAACUAGGUUAGAGAUUAAACGAGCCUGAUACUUGGCAGCUGUAGGCAAGGUUGGAUUGCCCUAGGGAAAGGGCUCAAAAUGAUUAAUGAAUUGGUGUUAUUAGCCUAUCAUGGGAUUGCAAUUCUGUUUGAAUCCUGAAGACUGAAAUUGAGAGGAGCUGUGUGGGUGUGAAUGAUGUACUGUAGAAGAAAGCUCAAGAACAGUUUCCCAGAAGGCAAGUAGAUCCCUUAAGGCAGCCUCAUGUUUGUUUUACUGCACCAUGUAGUCUAAAAUAUGCCCUUCACUACCAGUGGAUUGAUUCAUCAGCUGAUAUUGGGAUUUACCAUCUGCAAAGCUGUCCUUUCUCAGUUUAGGAGGCUCAGGAAACAAAGGAGGCCAAGCAGAGCCCUUCAAGAACCAGCUUAAAGCCAGUUGUGCAGCCUGAUCUCCAGGAAAUGCUAAAACAGCCACAAAUGAGGGAAAAAAAAAAAUAAUUCAAAGGAGUUCACAUGAAAACAGCCCAGUGCUCUGGCUCUGUAAGCAAUAAGGAGUGGAGGCCCUUGGAGGAACACAAGAACAGGGUAGGUGUGUUUUAUAAUCUUUGAUGUAUUUUUCUGUUGUUUUGUUUUGUUUUUCUCCAUGAAUUCUUACCACCCAUCUCUGAAGCUUUACAAGCGUAGCCUUUUCUGUAUCCUGUGG
RNAcentral lists this long non-coding RNA (778 nucleotides) under Cairina moschata (Muscovy duck). RNAcentral's name for it is "domestica (muscovy Duck (domestic type)) lncRNA (ENSCMMG00000017208.1)". The record is from RNAcentral. Lineage: Eukaryota; Metazoa; Chordata; Aves; Anseriformes; Anatidae.